UGCUUGCUGCGCGAUGAGCGAUUGGUAUGCUGCAUUGAUAGUGGCGAUGUUCUUGGCAUACCACGAGGCUGGGGUUUCGCCCUCUGGUAAGCCAAGUAAUGCAGAUACAUUUUGAGGUGGCGCUGUGCGGAAAUCUCGUUCAGCUUCUUCUGUAUAGCCAAUGUGUUGUCUUGGCUUAUAGUACUCAUGGUUCUUUGGUAAACGAUUAAAGACCGAUGAUUCUUCAUCACCUUCCCAUGUAGGAUCAUAUGGGUCGGUUUCUUCCCAUUCGUUGUUCAUGUUGCGCGGCGUGAGCCGGCUGUGCACAGGGCCUCGUUGAAGGUUCGACGGAUACUCAUAGUAACUAUCCGUUUCCCCUCUUGUAUCGCGCGUGUCUUGUACGCUUA
RNAcentral lists this long non-coding RNA (386 nucleotides) under Helianthus annuus (common sunflower). Its description in RNAcentral is "sRNA HanXRQr2_Chr11g0505591". The record is from RNAcentral. Lineage: Eukaryota; Viridiplantae; Streptophyta; Magnoliopsida; Asterales; Asteraceae.